This is an RNA transcript of Perca fluviatilis (European perch), 4520 nucleotides long. It is a transcript of the gene named transferrin receptor 1b, with no coding region annotated. The record is from RefSeq and is a predicted model, not a curated record. The transcript is spliced from 19 exons. NCBI's taxonomy places the organism in Eukaryota, Metazoa, Chordata, Actinopteri, Perciformes, Percidae.
AUGGAUCGAGUGAGGUCUGCAUUCAACAGCAUGAUAAAAAGUGAGCGGUACAGCAGGUUCACUCUGCAGCCGGCAGAGGACGGAGAAAGACAUGUUGAGGUCAAACUGUCGGAUGGCGCCACAGAGGCCGAGGAGCAGGCCGGGGGAUCUCCGAGCUUCAGGCCAGCACCCCCACAUCAGAAACGGAGUACUAUUUGCUACAUGGCCCUGGGGAUUCUGCUGAUAUUUGUCACCGGCUACAUGCUUGGUUACCUCUGUCACCGUGAAACUCAGGUGGAGUCGGUGAACUGUGGCACCGAGCCGGAAGGAACGACCGCUACGCCACCUGUUGUUACGCCACCUGUUGUUGUACCAGCUCCAGACGUUCCUCUGAACCAACUCCUCGCACAGAAACUCACCAGCCGCGCAUUUGACGAAACUCUGAGGGCCUUUGACCUGUCCAGUCGCUCAGCAGGAAGUGAGGAAGACCGGAGUCAGGCAAACCGCAUCUUUGACCAAUUCAAGAAAGCAGAGAUGGAGCCCUGGACUGACAUCCACUACGUUCAGCUGCAGACACCAGACAGCAAGCGUCCAAACCGUGUCCGUUUUGGUUCAGAUGUCUUCGAGCCUACAGGGUAUUUGGCUUACAGUGCUCCUGGGGAUGUUGAGGGCAAGCUGGUGUAUGGCAACUAUGGUCGUCAGGAGGAUCUGGAUGUUCUGCAGAAGAAGAACAUUGAGCUGAAAGACAGUGUGUUGCUGCUCCGAGCUGGAAAGAUCAGCUUUGCAGAGCAGGUUGAUAAUGCUGCCACAAAGGGGGCCUCUGCUGUUCUAAUCUACCCUGACGCUCAAGAUUACACAUAUGUAGCGGACACGGCACUCUACGGACAUGUGCAUUUGGGUUCAGGCGACCCCUACACCCCUGGGUUCCCCUCCUUCAACCACACCCAGUUUCCCCCAACGCAGUCCUCCGGCCUCCCUAAAAUCCCAGCCCAGACUAUUACCGCCAACAUGGCUUCAGCUCUCCUAAAGAAAAUUGGCGGCCCUGAACCAGAUGCAAGCAGCGGUUUUAAAGGCGGCCUCCCGUCAGUGGCUUACAGCCUGGGAGGCAGCAAGAACAUCACUGUUGAGGUGAACAACGUGCAGGUCAACACAGAGAUCCACAAUGUGUUUGGAGUCAUAAAAGGAUUCACUGAUCCUGAUCGCUACGUUGUGCUGGGAGCUCAGAGAGACGCCUGGGGUGAAGGUUUUGCCAAAGCCGCUGUUGGCACCUCAAUACUGAUAGAGCUGGCCAAGGCUGUUCACGAGAUGGUGGAGAACGAUGGGUUCAGACCCAGGAGAAGCCUGGUGUUUGCGAGCUGGAGCGCCGGAGAGUACGGAAGUGUUGGCGCCACCGAGUGGUUGGAGGGUUAUAUGUCUUCUAUUGACAAACGUGUUUUCACCUACAUAAGCCUAGAUGGAGUGGUCAUGGGUCGUGGGAGCUUUAUGGCCUCAGCAAGCCCGCUGCUCCACAGCCUCCUCGAGACCACGAUGAGAGAGGUGAAGAGCCCUCUUGGUUCUGGCACUGUGUACGAUAUGGUGGGAACAAGUAACUGGGAGGCCAAAACACUGAGGCCAAUGUCAAUGGACGACCCCGCCUAUCCGUUCCUGGCCUUUUCUGGAAUUCCCUCCAUCUCUUUCCACUUCAUCUCUCCCAAUACUGAGGCCUACAGUUACUAUGGCACCAACCUGGACAACAUGGAUCACCUCAAUUACGCAACCGGCCAUCACACCAGUGAAAUGGUGGCAGUGGCGGCACAGUUCGCCGGCCAGAUGGCCCUGCGACUGGUCCACGACCACCUGCUCAGCCUGGAUGUUGGCCGAUACAGCAGCGUCCUCACCAAGGCUGUGGUCCGAGUCUACAAACGCGUCAACCAGCUCUCACAGUCUGGCCAGCUGAAGGGGGUGAACCCCAACUGGCUGAAUCGUGCACGCGGCUCCUUCCAACGAGCUGCUGCGAGCAUCAAGACUGACAUCCAAAACACUGACUUAAAUGACCAGGAGGCCUGUCGGAUCCUCAACGACAGGAUCAUGAGUGUUGAGCACAGCCUUCUCUCUCCAUACGUGUCCCCCACUGAGACUCCCUUCCGUCACCUCCUGCUGGGUCGGGGCUCCCACACUUUGGCAUCCAUCGCCGAGACCGCCGACAUGGAGCAGCUCCACAUCCAGCUGGCCCUGGCCACCUGGAACCUGCAGGGGUGUGCCAACGCCAUGGAGGGAAACCUCUGGGACAUCGAUGAGGAAAUCUAAAGGAAGACGGGGGAGUUGUAAGCGUGGGUAUCGUGUGUGUUGUUUAAAAUGAAGUUUGAGGUAGGGCAGAGGGAGAAGCUCCAAUAUCGGCACUUAAGCACAAGCUGUCAAUCACAGGUCUAAGCCCCACCCUUUACAAAACAGGCUUGUACUUCCACAAAGAUCCAGGAGGAGAUGGAAAUAGAAACAUAUUCUUAACUGUGAACCAACAUCAAAUACUUGAAGAAAUAUUAAUACUACUGACAGAUCUGCCUCCUCUCCUCCUGGCUCUACAUGGAACCAGUCAAAGCCUGUGCUCUGUCCUCUCGCCUUCGAAACAAUGAGAAACCUUAUUUAUACUUUUUUUAUUUAUCAGUGGCAGUGCCCACUAUAAAGUUAUUGUUUGUCUUUUUAUACGACGUUAUCGGAAGCAGUGCCUUCCAUAAUUAUGACGGUUAUACUGUCUAAUCCUCCGGCAGCAUCUGCUACAGAAAUGACUCCUCAACUGUUGCUGACAAAAUGGAGCCCGUGAGAAAGUUAGAUUUUUUUUUAUUUUAAUUUUUUUUUAUGGCCUUCAUUUCUUCCAUUUUAUGUGAAGCGAUUUCUAAAGGGACAUCAUCAAAUCAUGAGAAAGUGGCGUGCAUUAGCGGUGCUUCACUCGGUCAUCAAAAUGGUUAUUAAUUAAAAUGCAUUAAAAGGGAGAAAUGAAGGGCAGAAAAAAGUUGUUCCAGUCUGUCAUAAACAAGUCUAGGAGCAGAGAAAAAACUAACUCUCUGGAUAUUGGGAAAUUCUUAUUUAUAUAGCAACAAGCCCAGAAAGUUAAGACUGGAUUUAUUCCCUGCUUGGUGACAGAAUAAAAAAAUAAAUAAAUAAUGCACAAAAAUGAUCAAAUCACCCUUUUUAGCGCGACAGCUAAACUGAUUGGUUCCAUAAUUUGCAAGAAAGCCAUUUAUGUUGCACAGUUCGAACUUAUGGAGCAGUUUAUAAUAUAAAGUUAUCGGGAGCAGUGUCUUCCAUAACUAAAACCCAUUAUCGGAAGCAGUGUCUUCCAUAAUGACAAGCAGUGAUGGUAGUUUUUGCCUACCAGUGUGUGUGUGUGUGUGUGUGUGUGUGUGUGUGUGAGUGAUUUGCGUUUGUGUGUUUUUACAUGUGUAUUUAUCGGGAGCAGUGUCUCUCAUAUUUCACUGAAGGGUGGAACGACUUAUCGGGAACAGUGUUUCCCAGAGUUUUAUACAUAUUUGUUUUGUCUUCUUUUAUUUUAUUAUCUGUGUGCACUUCUCCAUUUUUGCUCACUUUUGUGUACCAGGCUAUGAUUUUCCUGCAGCAUUUUAUUUUAUUUUUUUUCGAUUUACCGAUUUUUCCAUCUAAUCAAGCAACUCCAUACAAACACACACGGAAGAAUAUUAAAAUGAAUUCUAUUCAGUUAGAAACAAACUUCUCUGUAGAUUCUGUAGGCAUUCUUACCUCCAAUCCUCUUUGUUUUCUCUGUGUUAGUGACUUUAAAGACACAAUAGAUGUUGCACCUACAUAUAAAUUCAAUUCACAAGCUAUAACUCUCUUUGCAUGCGUUUCAAUGACCUAUUUCCUCUUCAAUGCAUGGUACUGUAUUGCUUUUGAUAAGGUGUAGCUCAACAGACUUGGACCAUAUUACGAACUUUUCAAAUAAGUUAGGUUUAGAUACUAAACUAUAUUUUUGUUUAAUCAUUUUUCUUCUUAUACAAGUAAAAUCAGUGGUUUUCCUAGAAUAUUGGCAGGCCUUAGCAUUAGGAGGAACAUAAAACGGCAGUAAAAAUAUGAGACCAUAGAUAAAUAUUCAACAAAGGUAACUGUAAUUGCAACUUAUUGAACCUGUAUACAAUUGUAAGUACAGAAAGGUAAACUUGUUUAAAGAACAUUAUUAGUCAGUUAGCCCUAUUUAACCAGUGUAACUACAUUUAAAAUCCACUUUGUUUUAACAUACCCUCAAGAGCAAACAGAACGUUACCAUUUCAUAAUUUAGGUUAUUACGUGUUUGGAUACUUUUGUUUGUUUUCUGGUGUCACUUCUGUUGAGCUUGCUAUUGUUAUGGCCUGUUUUGACUUUCCUAGAUUUGUUAACAAGAGUUUAAAAUAAGGUUACUUUAUCCCGAGGGGGGCAAGUUGGGUGGUUGGGAAAUGGCUUUUCCGCCCACUGUGUGUACUGCAGUGUUUCAAAACCUGUUCAUGAAAUCAUGUUUUUGUGAUCUCAAUGUUUAGCAGAAAAGUGUAAUAAACCCUUUUGGCUUAGCAUCCAGUAAA